AUUGAACGCUGGCGGAAUGCUUUACACAUGCAAGUCGAACGGCAGCACGGGUGCUUGCACCUGGUGGCGAGUGGCGAACGGGUGAGUAAUACAUCGGAACGUACCCAGUCGUGGGGGAUAACGUAGCGAAAGUUACGCUAAUACCGCAUACGUCCUGAGGGAGAAAGCGGGGGACCGUAAGGCCUCGCGCGAUUGGAGCGGCCGAUGGCGGAUUAGCUAGUUGGUGGGGUAAAGGCCUACCAAGGCGACGAUCCGUAGCGGGUCUGAGAGGACGGCCCGCCACACUGGAACUGAGACACGGUCCAGACUCCUACGGGAGGCAGCAGUGGGGAAUUUUGGACAAUGGGCGAAAGCCUGAUCCAGCCAUUCCGCGUGGGUGAAGAAGGCCUUCGGGUUGUAAAGCUCUUUCGGCAGGGAAGAAACGGCUUGGGAUAAUACCCCGGGCUAAUGACGGUACCUGAAGAAGAAGCACCGGCUAACUACGUGCCAGCCGCCGCCGUAA
This 502-nucleotide ribosomal RNA is filed under the name uncultured bacterium. RNAcentral describes it as "partial 16S ribosomal RNA". It matches the Rfam family "Bacterial small subunit ribosomal RNA", at positions 29 to 523 of the family's 1533-position model. The record is from RNAcentral.